GACAAAGACUGUAUGAAGCCAUUCUGCCACAGUAAGACAGACUUCUUUCCUUAAAAGUAAAGUUUACUAGAGCACAGCAAGUAGUUGUUACAUCAAACUGACGCUAAGAUUGAGUCAGAAGCAUUAUCGGAAGCCUCAACGUUACAGUAAACUGACUCUAAGAUUGAUCAGAAGCAUUAUCGGAAGCCUCAACGUCAUAUGCUUCAACACAGUCAGCAAGCAAGCUCUGACCUUACAGAGUAAAAGUAAGCAAAGCUGUACAGGGCUGUUGUCUUUUGGCAAACUUUGUGUGGUAACUGGUGGAGACAGUCCCCUGCACUCCUAGCUGCAUAUCUGCAUUAUGAAUAUCUGCAUUAUUUGGUCAUGUGUGUGUUUACCAAAUCAAGUGGGG
Molecule: long non-coding RNA, 391 nt
Filed under: Bos taurus (domestic cattle)
Lineage: Eukaryota; Metazoa; Chordata; Mammalia; Artiodactyla; Bovidae
Description: long non-coding RNA NONBTAT004941
Source: RNAcentral